UAGAAGAAGAAAAAGAAGAAAAAAAUAAUAGUUUCCCCUGCAGCACUGAUGAGCAAUUCAGUACAACCAUUCAUGAUUUGCCUAUCUCCUCUCACUGGACAUUCCAGAAACAGUGUAACCACUACCUCUGAUUCUUCGGUGUAACUUGGGUAUUACUUGAUCCUUUUCCCAGGAUACGUUAGAUCAAGGGGCAGUAGCCAUUAACAGCCUUUGAAUAAUUCACAACAGCAUGAUGGCAAUGUCAAACUGAGAACAGGUUCCAUCUCAGCUCUCUGAAAGGCAAAAUCCCCAUACUUAACAUAAAGGUCCCCAUUACUUUUCCAAUCAGUGCCAUUUGAAUGACUCUUCCAUAUUCCGUCUGCUGCAUUGAACUGCAUUUCUAGAAAUCUGCAUCUAGUCACCACUGCUACUUCCCCAUCUCUUCUGGUCUCUGCCAAAUGGUUUUUGAAUGUAUGGCAGAGUUUCUUUCACUUCUCCACUGAUUUCUGGGGCAGGAGAGUGGGAGGGAGGAGGAAUAGCCUCCACGCCUCCAACCCUGAAUUCUCGCACUCACGCAUCGCAAAGGCCAUUGAUCUGGUCUGCAAGGUUCAGGGGCUGGGGCCGGUGUCAGCCUUUCAUUUCCAGUUACAGAGGUGACACAAGAACUGGAGCAGAAGUCUAGAAAUGCAGAUGGGAGCAUCUGGAUACUGUACCUGAGAGUUACAUGGCUGACUUGAUAUAAAUAAACAACAUAAUGUACACA
This 742-nucleotide long non-coding RNA is filed under the name Anser brachyrhynchus (Pink-footed goose). RNAcentral describes it as "lncRNA (ENSABRG00000014229.1)". Lineage: Eukaryota; Metazoa; Chordata; Aves; Anseriformes; Anatidae. The record is from RNAcentral.